UACAGAGGUCCCAAGCGUUGUUCGGAUUCACUGGGCGUAAAGGGUGCGCAGGUGGCUGGGUAAGUUUGAUGUGAAAGCCCCGGGCUUAACCCGGGAAUGGCAUUGAAUACUAUUCGGCUGGAGGAUUGGAGGGGGGACUGGAAUUCUUGGUGUAGCAGUGAAAUGCGUAGAUAUCAAGAGGAACACCAGUGGCGAAGGCAGCUCGCUGGGACGUUACUGACGCUGAGACGCGAAAGCGUGGGGAGCAAACAGG
RNAcentral lists this ribosomal RNA (253 nucleotides) under uncultured bacterium. Its description in RNAcentral is "partial 16S ribosomal RNA". It matches the Rfam family "Bacterial small subunit ribosomal RNA", at positions 524 to 776 of the family's 1533-position model. The record is from RNAcentral.